CUUAGACCGGUGUUUGCAUCGGCGUCGUUUCACAUUUUUGUUUGAACUUCAGUCUCUCAGGGGUCUCCCUCUCUCGUCCCCUAUCUUCGAUUCUUCUCUCUAUAGUUUAUCACCCAAGUUCCAACUCCGUCGCUCUCUGAGUCUCUCAGGAAAUGAAAUUGAACAUGAUUCCAAGAAAUGGAAAUGCAUUUGGAGUUAGUUCAGUGCCCUGUCGUGCAUCUUCUGGAAAUGGAACAUGAUUGUGGGGCUCUCCACUUAUGGUUUGGCCGUGGUCACAACGGAAACUGGGCUGUUAGAGAAGUUGACAGUCUUGCAGACCUAGAGAAACCUAUCCAGACACUGUCCAGAAUCCAUGAUUGUCAAUAGCCUAGGACUCGGAUUGGCCCUGCUUUGUGGCACUGUAAUAUUGGCUGCGGUUUCACCAAAGCAUCAAUCUCUUCAAACUAAAUUCAUGUACUCAGAUGCUAAGUGCUUGUCGUCCAAAAGAAAUGGAAAUUGUUUUUCACCCAGCAUAAUAAUACUUUCUUUCAUUGUGGAUGUAAA
Molecule: long non-coding RNA, 543 nt
Organism: Carya illinoinensis
Lineage: Eukaryota; Viridiplantae; Streptophyta; Magnoliopsida; Fagales; Juglandaceae
Exons: 2
Source: RefSeq, a predicted model, not a curated record